RNAcentral lists this ribosomal RNA (168 nucleotides) under Corythoichthys amplexus (brown-banded pipefish). RNAcentral describes it as "partial 12S rRNA". The record is from RNAcentral. Lineage: Eukaryota; Metazoa; Chordata; Actinopteri; Syngnathiformes; Syngnathidae.
CACCGCGGUUAUACGAGAGGCCCAAAAUAAUGAAUAUCGGCGUAAAGAGUGGUUAAGUAAUUACAAUAUUAAAGUAAAACAUUUACCAGGCUGUCAUACGCUUACGUAAAUAUGAGGGUCCUUAACGAAAGUAACUUUAAAUUUUCUGACUCCACGAAAGUUAUGUAA